Molecule: transfer RNA, 80 nt
Filed under: Methanobacteriota archaeon
Lineage: Archaea; Methanobacteriati; Methanobacteriota
Description: Euryarchaeota archaeon tRNA-Gly
Rfam family: tRNA
About the family: Transfer RNA (tRNA) molecules are approximately 80 nucleotides in length. Their secondary structure includes four short double-helical elements and three loops (D, anti-codon, and T loops).
Source: RNAcentral
GCAGGUGUAAUCUAGUUGGUCAGGAUUUUGGCCUUCCAGGACGAAAGCCAACGGCCCGGGUUCGAAUCCCGGCACCUGCA